Etheostoma spectabile (orangethroat darter) is the source of this 148-nucleotide long non-coding RNA. RefSeq lists it as uncharacterized. The record is from RefSeq and is a predicted model, not a curated record. The transcript is spliced from 3 exons. NCBI's taxonomy places the organism in Eukaryota, Metazoa, Chordata, Actinopteri, Perciformes, Percidae.
CCUCUGCAGAAUAGUAUCGGGAAUGACAUAGGAACUUGUUUUGGUGGAACGGGUGUAUGUUUAAAAGUUGGUUUAGCCAUGCAACAGAAAACUCCGAUUGGGCAGAUUGUCUAACUAGCUGUCUGGAUUUACCCUGCAGAGAUCUGGG